RNAcentral lists this long non-coding RNA (2607 nucleotides) under Salvia miltiorrhiza (redroot sage). RNAcentral's name for it is "long non-coding RNA (SMIL_LNC000572)". The record is from RNAcentral. Lineage: Eukaryota; Viridiplantae; Streptophyta; Magnoliopsida; Lamiales; Lamiaceae.
UCUAAUACAAGAUGAUGAACCUCAGAAAAAUAGCCAUCUUUGCUUUGCUAAUCGUCCUCGCUGCUCAGGUGUUGGAGGGCCGUCUUCAAUCCUGCAAUCCGAGUGGCAAAAUCAGAGGAAAGAAGCCACCUCCGGGGCAAUGCAACCAGGAAAACGACUCCGAUUGCUGUAAACAGGGGAAGCUCUACACCACUUACAAAUGCUCCCCCUCCGUUUCUGGCAGCACGAAGGCAGUUCUCACCAUAAACAGCUUCCAGAAGGGUGGAGACGGAGGCGGCCCAUCAGAAUGUGACAAUCAGUACCACUCUGACGACACACCAGUCGUCGCCCUAUCAACUGGUUGGUACAGCGGAGGGAGCAGAUGCCUCAACAACGUAACUAUAAGUGGCAAUGGCCGGAGUGUGACAGCAAUGGUGGUGGAUGAGUGUGAUUCCACCAUGGGAUGUGAUGAGGAUCACGAUUAUCAGCCACCGUGUCCUAACAACAUUGUCGACGCCUCAAAGGCUGUCUGGGAAGCCUUGGGGGUUCCCGAAGGCGACUGGGGGGAGCUGGAUAUCACUUGGUCUGAUGCUUAAUGUUUUAUAUGUUAAUCUCUUUUAACUGCUGUGAAACAUAUGUAAAAGUAUGGUGUAAUAAUAAAACUUAGCAAAUCUUGUCAUAAACAUACUGUCAAUCGCAGUUUUUUCACUUAUUUUCACAUCCAUGAUCAAAAUUCUUAAGAAACACAGUUGUUCAAAAUGCUAUGUGGAUUAAUCACUGUAGUUCUUGUUCAUUUCUAUGAAGCUUUUCCUAAUCUUACACAGCUUGUCUGAAGCUUGAGAAAAUGGCUUUCUCCCAUGAAUUUUUUCCAAUCAAAAACUAGAUAUUUUACAAGAUUCCACCAAGGCUGUAAAGGAAUCAAACAAUUCAAUAAAAUACUAAUCAUAAGCAGAGAUGCACUGUCCACAUAUUUCUGAGAAGCUGGGAAAAUGACAAGGAUUCCUUGUUCAUGGCAGCAAGGAGAAUCCUCGAACACAUAAAACUGUCGUUAACUCUAUCAAGCACUAUAAAAAUAUGCUUGAAACAAAUCUAACUUCACACCAUUAAGCAAGAAAAAUCUGUAAGAAGAAGAGGAAGCAAAAAUGAGAAACCAAACCUUGUCAUUCUUGCUCUUCUCUGUCUUGAUCAUGUCGUUGAGCUCGAGUGUCGAUGCUAGAGCUAAAACCUGCAAACCAAGUGGCAAGAUCAAGGGCAAGAAACCUCCUAAAGAAAAUGCAAUCAGGACCACGACUCCGAUUGCUGGAAAGUGGCAAGUACUACGACACCUACAAGUGCUCGCCCCCGGUCACUGGCCGGACUAAAGCAGUCCUGACUAUCAAUGGCUUCGGGAAAGGUGAUGACGGUGGAGGGCCGGCAGAGUGUGAUGGCAAGUACCACUCGGACGACACCCCCAUCGUGGCUCUCUCGACGGGGUGGUUCAACAACAUGAAGAGGUGCUUCCAGAACAUCACCAUUCAUGGCAAUGGGAAGAGUGUGGCUGCCAUGGUGGUGGAUGAGUGUGACUCAACUGUGGGGUGCGAUGACGAGCACGACUACCAGCCGCCGUGCCCCAACAACAUUGUCGAUGCUUCUGAAGCUGUCUGGAGAGCUCUAGGAGUGCCUAAAAAUGAUUGGGGUGAAAUGAAAAUCAAGUGGUCUACUUGAUCAAGAACAGAACCAGCACAGAAUUCAGAGACUUGUUGAAGACUUUGUGUUUUUAAGGAAUAAGAGUUUGUUUGUGGUGAGUCAAUCUUUGUUUUCUAGGAGAUUGCAAUAUAUUUGUUAAAAAUAUACCCAUGUAGCAACAUAUGUGCAUAUCAAGAUAUAUACAAUAAAUAUAUAUUUGUUUUCUUUUCUAUGUUUUACUAUUUAUAGAAAGUUACCAGACUUACAAUACAUUGGUUUAUCUCAAAAUGCACUCUUAAUAUUUUUAGAGAAGAAUAAAAAAUGCUGCAGUUAAUCAGAGUAUGGAUGGUUAAAGAAAGAACUUAAUCAUCAAACAACUUUCCAAAUGGUUUAAACCUAUAAAAUCUACUUACAAUUUUUUACAUGAAAUUUUUGUUCCAUGAUGAACAGAUGAUAUGAAUCAUAGCUCGUCGUUUGAAGUUUUGGAGACGAAAUUUAGCAGAUAGGCCAAUGCACAAGUCUUGACAGCGAUGAAGAAAAGAUCAACUGAGACGGCAUUUCAGUUGAGCAUAAGACUGUAUCUCUGUCAUCUUAUAUACAGAUAACAUAGCAGAAGAAGUCACAUAUCUUGAGCACUUUUUUGGAGUUAUUUAUUGAAAAUGAAUCUAUUUAAACACUCAAACUUCAUCCCAUUUCUGCAUCCAAAAAUCAGUGUUUCAAUACUAAACUUAAAGAAAACAUAGAGCCAAGAUGAAGAACCUCAACAAAGUAGCCAUCUUUGCUUUGCUAAUCAUCCUUGCUGCUCAGGCGUUGGAGGGCCGUCUUCAAUCCUGCAACCCGAGUGGCAAAAUCAGGGGAAAGAAACCACCUCCGGGGCAAUGCAACCAGCAAAAUGACUCCGAUUGCUGUAAACAAGGGAAGCUCUACACCACUUACAAAUGCUCUCCCCCCAUUUCUGGAAGC